GUCCACGCCGUAAACGAUGAAUGCCAGUCGUCGGGUAGCAUGCUAUUCGGUGACACACCUAACGGAUUAAGCAUUCCGCCUGGGGAGUACGGCCGCAAGGUUAAACUCAAAGGAAUUGACGGGGCCCGCACAAGCGGUGGAGCAUGUGGUUUAAUUCGAAGCAACGCGCAGAACCUUACCAACCCUUGACAUGGGUAUCGCGGCUCUGGAGACAGAGCCUUCAGUUCGGCUGGAUACCACACAGGUGCUGCAUGGCUGUCGU
This 262-nucleotide ribosomal RNA is filed under the name uncultured bacterium. RNAcentral's name for it is "partial 16S ribosomal RNA". It matches the Rfam family "Bacterial small subunit ribosomal RNA", at positions 793 to 1055 of the family's 1533-position model. The record is from RNAcentral.